AGAGUGUUAUGAUGUUGGAAGUUUAUACUUUCCGAGUCUAGCUCGUCGCUACCCUCUGAUGAGAGUCAUCAGGGG
This is a regulatory RNA element of Enterococcus columbae, 75 nucleotides long. It matches the Rfam family "L17 ribosomal protein downstream element". NCBI's taxonomy places the organism in Bacteria, Bacillati, Bacillota, Bacilli, Lactobacillales, Enterococcaceae. The record is from Rfam.